This 460-nucleotide ribosomal RNA is filed under the name uncultured bacterium. RNAcentral's name for it is "partial 16S ribosomal RNA". It matches the Rfam family "Bacterial small subunit ribosomal RNA", at positions 338 to 795 of the family's 1533-position model. The record is from RNAcentral.
CCUACGGGUGGCAGCAGUGAGGAAUAUUGGUCAAUGGACGAGAGUCUGAACCAGCCAAGUAGCGUGAAGGAUUACUGCCCUAUGGGUUGUAAACUUCUUUUAUAAAGGAAUAAAACGAGGCACGUGUGCCUUUUUGCAUGUACUUUAUGAAUACGGAUCGGCUAACUCCGUGCCAGCAGCCGCGGUAAUACGGAGGAUCCGAGCGUUAUCCGGAUUUAUUGGGUUUAAAGGGAGCGUAGAUGGGUUGAUAAGUAAGUUGUGAAAUUUUGCGGCUCAACCGUAAAAUUGCAAUUGAUACUGGCAGUCUUGAGUACAGUUGAGGUAGGCGGAAUUCGUGGUGUAGCGGUGAAAUGCUUAGAUAUCACGAAGAACCCCGAUUGCGAAGGCAGCUUACUAAACUGUGACUGACAUUGAUGCUCGAAAGUGUGGGUAUCAAACAGGAUUAGAUACCCGAGUAGUC